CCCGCUGAAUUUAAGCAUAUAACUAAGCGGAGGAAAAGAAACUAGCGAGGAUUUCCCUAGUAACGGCGAGUGAAAAGAAAAAAGCCCAACGCUGAAUCCAAUACAUAUUAUAUGGCUAUAUGGAAAUGUAGCGUAUAGGUAUAACUAUCCGUAAAUAUUUUUACACCCAAAGUCCCCUUAAGCGGGGCUACAGUCCGUAGAAGGUGCUAGACCUGUACGGGUGAAAAAAGUUACGGUAGGUUAUUCCUUAGAGUCGGGUUGUUGGGUUAAUUAAAAGUAAUAAUUGUAUUUGCAUUGAUUUAUAUUUAUUAUUAUCAAAUAAUUUCCAU
This 329-nucleotide non-coding RNA is filed under the name Brugia pahangi. Its description in RNAcentral is "Eukaryotic large subunit ribosomal RNA". It matches the Rfam family "Eukaryotic large subunit ribosomal RNA", at positions 24 to 292 of the family's 3401-position model. The record is from Rfam by way of RNAcentral. Lineage: Eukaryota; Metazoa; Nematoda; Chromadorea; Rhabditida; Onchocercidae.